This 27632-nucleotide long non-coding RNA is filed under the name Eucalyptus grandis. RNAcentral's name for it is "long non-coding RNA (EGRA_LNC005136)". The record is from RNAcentral. Lineage: Eukaryota; Viridiplantae; Streptophyta; Magnoliopsida; Myrtales; Myrtaceae.
UCAAUUUUAAAACCAGUCUCCUCAACGACUUUUCAGAAGUUUCUCCCACAGAUGGUAUCAAUGAACAGAUGAUUAGCUGCACAAGCCAUCCAUUCUCCACAGACAGUGGAACACUUCGCAUUCAUAGGUAUCACCAUUCAUCACCUGAGACAACAUUUUUUCGCAUCAUGCUUUUCGUGUAGAACAACGAGAAUGUUCAGUUCAUCAGCAUAACACGACGGUCCAAAUCAAAGCCCUACUCUUUCACAAGCAAGCGACUGCAACAUACCAAGCGACUACGACAUACCACUGAAAUCAUGAAUUUCCGUCCUACCCCCAACUUCAGUCACAAAGGAACUGACUAAACGAUGCUUUUCUCAUCCGAAGAGACGAAUUUGAACACGACCCAUCACCGUAAAAUCCACUCCCAUUCGACUAACGCAAUAGCUGUCGCACUAGCAUCGCUCGCGAGCUCUAAAGCAAGGUUCAUUAGAUAAAAAUUGACUCCAACUGCUUAAUAGUGCCUAAAAACCAUCCAUUUCGAAGUUAUCUCGCGCCAUUUUCUUUUGGGGUACGAGCUACCCAAAAGAGAAGCGGUAAAAGUCGAAACGAAAGGAAUUGGCAGGAACGGGCGAAGGCGGAGCAAGAAAGAGAUGGAGUGUCCUCACACAGAAGCCGGUCUUGAUCAUGAACAACUCCAUGGAGCCUCCGACGAGGGCCGAGAAGACCCCGAUCUUCACGUACCAAUCAAGAAACUUCACCGCCAUAUCGAAAGCUGCCGCUCAAGCUUUCCGCGGCAGCGGCUGGAAGACGGGAAAACGAAAGAAGGGUCUGUAAGAAAGAGGAGAAGGAAUAGGUAACUUCACGUGGAGAGAGGAGAUCCAACGAGGCCCAUCAUCGGCCAACGCAGCCCGAACAUUUCCCCUCUAAAGAAAGCUUUUUUAGCUGUUGGGUCCAAGGAACUUGGGCCUUUGGCCACUUUUAGUGCUGCUCGUUGCAUCAAGAUACAAUCUUUUCGUCUUCUCUUCUCGUUGCGUAAACGAGGGCGGAUGCUUUGUUACAGAGUGCGUUUGGUUCAGCAUUUUGAAAGCUCGGGGAAAUACAAAAUAGUUUAGUCUAAGGGGCUUUGGACAAAUACAAAGACUAUUUGGUAAAUUACACUUUGAAAAGCAACUUUGAAACAAAUGCUGUUUGGUAAAAAAACUCAUUUAGAAAGCCCAUUUGAGUGAUUAAUAUUAGUUUUUUAGUUUUUAUAUGUUUAAAAUUGACAAAAAUAAUGCAUGCAACUUCUUUUAAUUUGAAUUUUGACGACAAUGCUAAAAAAUAUCAAAUGGAAAAAAUUCACAUCAAAGUGGUCUCUUUCUUAAUUUUUUUUUAAAAAAAAACCUUUAUUAUAAUAAACGGAAUAACAUCUGUCCCGAGGAAAUAAAUUUAUUAUCCUUUAAAAUUACAAACAUCCUUAAAUAUUUCCUAAACUUAGAGCCAUUUGAUCAAGCUAGAAUACUAUGUACAACAAACCUUGAUACAACAGAGUUUCUCAAAUAUCUAUUCUUUGUUUACAUGCAAAGUGUACAUAAAAGUUCAAAUGCUCCUGUCAUAGAUAGAAUAGAUAGAAUUAAAGGUCAUUGUAGCACAUAAGCUGCCAUGUCUUUUGACCACAAAGAUGAUUUGUCUGGCCUGCUUGACUCCCCAGAUGAAGUGGAGGAUGAAUCCUUUGAGUGACCUUUCAGACCUUUAUCAGCAAUUAGAUCCAUGAAUUUUGAAAGUGACAAGGUGUCGAUAUUUCACUAUCAUUAACCUCAGCUAAGCUCAUUAGCAUCUUCACGACAGUCAACAUGGAUGUUUGAAGCCCUGGUAUACCCUGUGUUCAGAGAAGACCAAUCUUCAUGAAUAGGCAUGCCUCUUACCUAUGAUGUUCCCCAUCCAGAGAUGUAUCACUAAGGUCACCAUCGCCGAUGCAGUCCUUGAACGGACUAAGAAAUUCAUCAGGAUUAAAUCCACACCCCUCAAGGUCGCAGAGCAUCAGCUCCUCUCCCGAGCUUCCACCCCCCAUGGCCGAGUUCUCCGGUAUAGUCGAGAAACUGUCGUGGUGGCCGUCACCGACGCAAUCCCUGGACACCCUAAGGAAGUUGUCCGGAUUACAUCCACGCCCCUCAAGAUGGGAGCAGGCGGGGGUGGAGUCCACUCCCAAUCCUCCACCGCCGGCGGCCGACUUCUCCGGCGAAGUAGAGAAAGGGUCGCCGUCGCCGUCGCCGUCGCCAUCGCCCAAAUUUUCAGAAUCACAACCAAACCCGUCUCCAGAAUCGCCACCAGAACCGAUCACGACGGACGAACCCUUCUCCAGAUCUUCCAACUUCUCGCCCACAAGAUCACGAACGGCGUCGUACUUCGCGAUCAGGGACUCCACGUCCUCCUCCGUCGCGCAAGAAUCCCACUCCUUCUCAAUCCACUCCGCCCACUCGGUCAAACCCAUCGGCGGCACCACGCCAACGUGGUCGGCAAUUACGUCAUCUUCCACGGAGGGGUCGCUGAAGAAAGAACAGGGCUUGCCGGCGGGGGAGAAGACGAUGACGGCGGCGCGAGCGCCGCAGAGGCGGCAGAGCUCGGAGGCCUUCUUGAAGAGGCCCUUGCGCCUCUUCGAGUAAGUCACGAGCCGCGCGGCCGGGUCGGCGAUCUUGGCGAUCUCCGUUCGCCGGCGCUUACCCAUUUUCGAUGGAUUUCGCGAAAUUUCUUCGACGAUUUGCAGGAUUCUUGGGUUUCCAGGAGAGAGCUUUCGUGGGUUUUUCUGGGUUUCUUGUAGAGAGAGAGAGAGAGAGAGAGAGAUGAAGUUUGAAGUUGCAGAGGAGGCGGGCGGGGGAAAGGAGCCGAACGGGAAGAUCUACUUAUAUCGCCAUCGUGGGGGCCCCUUCGAGAACUUUCUGAAUUCUGAUUUUCGGUCCUCUAAGUUUCUGUAGAUUUUCAAAUUGGCCCCGCCAACAGUUUAUAUUUGUGUCGAUUGAGUACUCUUAAUUUUCAUAAUUUGCGUAAUUGGUGAUUUGUCCAGUGGAUUGCUUUCACCGUUAACACGAUGUGAUAAUUAAUUGAAUUAGAUAAGGGAAGAUGUUGCUUUAGAUUAUAAAUUUUAAUUUUUAAAUUAGAUAAGUAAAAACGUCACUUUAAAUUAUGAAAUUUAAUUUAACAUGAGAUAAGGAAAAAAUGGAAAAAAAAUACAUUGAGAGGUUAAAUGAGAGAAGCUCGUCGUCACGGAGUUUUCAUUGAGGGUUUUUAAAAACAUGUUUGUCCGUUUGAUGACAUUUAUUCUAUGAUUUUUUUUUCUUUUACUCUCUUCUAAUACUUGAAAAUAGAAAACACUUUGGAUAAAAUAUAUGAAGAAGAUAUAUUGUAAGUAAUUUCUUAAGUUGCAACUUUUGAUUAAAGGAAUACUUUUUUUUGAAGAUAAGGACACUUUAAUUGAAAAUAUAAUACCUGAUUAAAAUAUUUGCUCAAAUGUAUAAACUAUAACAAUGCGUAAUACUAUAUUUUUCGUCCUGUCAUGGAUCACUGUGCUAUUUUAGACAUCAUCAUGCAGUAAACAAAAUAGACAAAGCCACCUAAAUCUCUAAAUAUCAUGUAAAAUUAAAUUCAUAAUAAAAACUUAAAAAGAAAUAACAGCCUCACCUGAUUGGAAUAAAAAAAGAAGUGCAUUAUACACUCCCAUUACAAUCCAACAAAAAAAAAAUUGACACCGAAUAGUUAUGUGUAUAGUUUAAGUGCUAUAUUUUCCUCUAAUUAGUUAUAAAUUAUGAAUAUCGCUCACAUGCAAAGUAAAUAGACUAUUAUUAAUAUAGGUGAUGUCUAAGUUGUAACCCAUCAAUUAGCUUACAUAAUUCACUAGCAUUUAACUUUUUCUACAUAAUACAAAAGCAUAGGGACGGUAGUAAGACUAAUUAAAAAAUCUAAAUUCAAUUCUAUGUUUUAGACCUAGUAGGAUUUUGGCACAAAUAUGAAUAGUAUAAAUUUUAGAUAUAUCCAUGAACUCGAUAAAUCUCAGCUGCUAGAUUUUCAAACCUCACAUGGAAUCCAUGUGAUCAAGGGGAUUGCAAACUCCACCCGACACCCUCUCUUGCAAUCAAGCUUUCAAUUUUCACAAAGAAUGGCAAUAGACGUUUACACACGUGUAUUGUGUGUGUUAAAGUUCUAAUAUAUAUAUUGCAUAUUUUAUUGUAUUUUUACUCUUACACUUAUUCUUAAACUUUUGUUUUAUCUUAUUGCAGGGUGUGGGAGUCGAACUUCACAUCUAAAAUUAAAUCAUCCCCACCUCUAGUUGCCUCUAAGAAAGUAAGGGCUCGUCAUGACAACCAUUAUAUUCUAGAAAUAGUUUAUGGAACAGAAAUAGAUUUUUCUAUUUCUAUUUCUAGAAGAGUUUCUAAGUAAAAAUAACCGUUUGAUAACGACACAAAAUUUCUACUUUAAAAAUAGAAAUUCAUUUGAUAAUGACAUAAAAAAAUUUUCUUUUCGGAUGGCGGCAGCAGCGGCGGCCGGCGACCUACGAACAGUGGUCGGCGGCAAUGGAUGAAGGACCGAUUGACGAACGAUGAGAAAAAAAUUUAUUUCUCAUUUCUGUUCUAGAAAUAGAGAAGUAGAAAAUUUCUAUUUUUGAUUUUUAUUCCAAACCUAUUUCUGAAAUAUAAAUUUAUUUUAGAAAUAGAAAAACGGAAUAAAUUUAUCAAAUGGAUUUCUAUUCCAGAAACAAAUCUGGAAUAGAAAAAUUGUUUAUGGAAUAUUGUUUCUGGAAUAGAAAUUCUGAUUUGUCAUGCAUCUCUUAAGAAUUCCAAGCCCCUCUUCCAUGGUUCUAAGAUAAAUGUUUGACUGGGUGAGUUUUUGACAAAAUUUCGGUCCACCUAUGAAGACGAUGGGCUUGUGGGAGAAAAACAGACAGAAUUACCGGGCAGGUUCAAUUCGCGGGGAGUGCAAUAAACUUUACGAAUCACAGUGUGACAAACUUCACAGGGUUCGCAGCACGACCCAAUAUAAAAAUCUCAUCAAUUUUGAGAAUGCGAUUGACUUUCCAACCCGAACCGACAUCCACGUCAGGUCACGCGUGCACGUGGCGCGUUUGGCAAGGGUUAGCUUCGUUGCUGGGGCAAAACGCCCUUCAUUUUUUAUUCGAUGGUGUUGAUGAGAUGAGAAUAGAAUAUGAGGGAGGGGUGGGGCGCUUUUAUCAUCAUCCACGACGACCAAGACCUUUCGCCCCCACGCCACCCAUCGAGCACUAUUUCAUGGCAAUUACGACCAAGACCCGCAUCGUCGCCGUUUCAACGGGUGCUUGAAAAAAAAAAUCAAUACGCCGGCGACCCACUCGUAUCCUUUUCACAAUGACGAUCGUCAGGUGGUCUUUUGCUGGCCGACCACGCCCAGUAUGGGGCUGACCGGUGUGGCUAGGACUCGCGAGGCCUACCUAGCCCCAGCAAGGCCGGUCUGGCCACCGGCGAGGCUCAGCCAAUGCAGGUUGGCCUCGCAAGAGUUGGGCGCUGGGCGUCGCAAGGCUUCCUUAGCCCCGGCGAGGCCGAGUCUCGCCGGUGGCUGGGUUUGCUUCCGGCGAACUUGCUGGACCGGUUGCUGGCGACCGGCGAACGGCAACGGCGAAUGACAAUCGCAGGAUGGCAGUAGAUAAAGAAGAAGAAUAAGAUAAAAUAGAAGAAGACUUGAUUCUCAAAUUUGUUCCUGGAACGAGAAUUAAUUUCUUUUUUUAUUCUUGAUUUUACUCCAAAUUUGUUCUUUGUUCCCGAAAACAAAAAUUUUAUCAAACGCGAUUUUGUUUCCAAACUGCUCUCGGAAACAAAAAAUUAGAAUCAUUGUUGGGAUGGUUACCAAACAACACCUUACUAGAACAAAAAAUUAGAAUCAGUUGUUGGGUUGAUUACCAAACAGCACCUCACUCUCUUGGUCUUCUCUCGUAUUCUCAGCCACUUCGUGGGACAAGAUAUAGAAAUUGAAGGGCAAAUGAAAUAAAUAAAGGAAAAUCGGGCGAGAUGGCGUCAGAAUAAAAACGGGGUUCCAUCCGAAAAUCCAGCAAACUGGUUUCCACUCUCUCUCUCUCUUUCUCUCUCCCUUUCUCUCUCUCUCUCCUGCUGCUGCUGCUGCUGCUUUACUCGUUGGAUUGAUCAUGCAAGCGGCUCAAGCUCAUCCUCCGCCUUCUACAACGUCUGCUGAGAUUCCUUCUCAGGUCCUCUCUCUCUCUCUCUCUCUCUCUCUCUCUCUCUCUUUCGGUGGGCGUUGUGAGUUCUUGCUUUUUGUGUACGUGAGUCUCGCUGUUUGUGGGUUCGCUGGUGAGAUCGAGUUUCGUGCUUGAGAUGGGUCGGAUUCUGCAGGCGUCGGAAGAGAUGGGUCGUCGGCGUUUAGGCGUUUGGUUUCCGUUUUCCGGUUGUUGCUCUGGUUUUAGCUGGUUCCGUGCAAUCUGAGCUCUUUGAGCUCGAGAGGUCGUGCCCCCUCCUCCGUCUUCCGCUUCCGGUGCUCACGCCCCCCGCGAGAAUUUUGCUUGAGCUGUGGUUUGAGAUCUUGGUUAGGCUCGAGUGAGAGAAAUAUGGAGAGCUAUCGAAAAAGAAGGAAAGAAAAUAUAGAAACCCCGAUGCGGGAUGACACGAGUGCGAUUAAAUUUGAGUCGAACGCGACUUAGUGCAUUGCGACGUGUUUUCUGGAAUUCGAGCUACUUUAGUUUGGAACUGAUGAUUGACGCGGCGACGGUGACAGGAUAUGACUUGCGGCCCAUUCGGAGGCUUUGAGAAGUUUGCGGAUUGUGGGAAGAUUAGCAGGAACUAUGAUUAUUUUAGAAAUUAUACAACCGCCUCCAAAAGAUGAGAGCUUUACCUCGUGCAUUGUCAACUUUGACAAGCUGGAGUGAUGCUGCAAGAAUCAUUCUUAUUAAAUAAUUGUAGCACAGUGGCCCACGACUCUUUGCAUAUUUAGCUAAUUCAGGCUACCAAGUUUAAUGACCUAUAGAGAUUUCCAUUUGUGAGUCAGGCUUCCAAACAUUUUCCAUCUCCAGCUGUCAUUGCUUUUGCUGAUAUGCUGUUUGGUAUUUCUUGAAGAUCAUGUCGAGGGAAAUCGUGCAGAAAGACAACAUACCUGUAAAAAUUGAUGGAAUAGCAGGGAGCGCUUCUUUUACUCACACUGCGACAGAAGGUCAAGGAAUGGCUAAUUCAUCAGGAUAUGAAUAUGAAGUAUUCUUGAGCUUCAGAGGAGAAGAUACUCGAACAAUUUUACCGACUUCCUUUACACUAGUAUGAUAGAUGCGGGAAUCCGCGUCUAUAAGGAUGACGAAGAGCUCUGCAAGGGGGGAAAUUUUGGCCCGGAACUUCUCCGAGCAAUUAAUCAAUCGAAGAUCUCAAUACCUAUAUUUUCGAAAGGUUAUGCCUCUAGCAUAUGGUGUCUCAAGGAGCUAGUCCAGAUGGUCGAGUGCCGAAAAACUAGGGGACAAAAGAUUAUGCCCAUUUUUUAUGAUGUAGCACCUUCAGAGGUUCGACACCAAAUUGGACCUUAUGGAAAGGCCUUUCUUACACAUGAAAGCAAGAAGCGAUAUGAUGAAGAGACUAUGCGUAAGUGGAAAGCUGCUCUCACCACGGUUGGAGAACUAGAUGGAUGGGAAAAAAAGGCCAACGGGUAAUUGCCUCUAUCAUUCCAUUUGAUGUGCCUUGUCCCAUUAAAACUUGAUGUGUUUCAUUGUUGAAAUUGGAUUUUAUGCUAUUGAAACUUUACCACAGAAAUCACUCAAAAUAAUGGGACAAUCCCAUUUUUGUCCUUUUUCAUUCCGAACAACCUUUUUUUUUUCUUUUUUUUUCGGUUAAGGUCAUUCGCUAAUCAUAUAUGCCAAUGCUAAUUCAUUUACAAUGAAGUAAAUCCUUGCAGAAAGCAUUUCGAAUAGGUCUCUAGUUUUCACUUUGGUCUUGUUAGAACAUAGCUUGGUUCAACACAUUUUUCUAACUCAUUGCCAUUUGACCUCCAACAAACACUAGGAAAGAAGGUGAGAUGGCAAAAAAAGUUACCCAGAAGGUUUUCAAUGAAUUGAAAAAGGCUUAUUUGGUGGUAUCAAACAACUUGGUCGGUGUGGACAAUCAUGUGGAUAAAAUCAUGGAAGAGAUAGGUGCUCACAUAAAUGAAACGCGGAUCAUAGGAAUUCAUGGGAUGGGUGGCAUUGGAAAGACUACAAUUGCCAAAAUCAUAGACAAUGAGCUUUCCAACAAGUAUGACAGUUGUUGCUUCCUUUCCAACAUCCAUGAAACGUCAAAGCUCAAGGGCAUUGAGUACUUGCAGCAGCAGCUCAUCCAUGACAUCCUAAAGAUGAAAGGGACGGAUAUAAGAAACAUUGAUGAAGGGAUUAAGACCAUUAAAGAUAGGUUCCCUACUCACAGAGCCCUCAUUCUUCUUGACGAUGUGGAAGAAAAUGAUCAUAUGGAUGCACUUGUAGGCAAGCGUGAUUGGUUUGGUAAAGGAAGUAGACUUAUUAUUACUACAAGAAGGAAAGAUGUUCUCCAUGUUCCAGAAGUGGAUUGGAGGUAUGAGCUUACAGGCAUGGAUGCCCAUCAAUCUCUUCAACUUUUUAGCAAACAUGCCUUCAGAAGAGAUUCUCCUAUAGACGAGUAUAUCGACCAAUCCAAGAGGGCAAUACACAUUGCCGGAGGUCUUCCAUUAGCCCUUGAGGUCAUAGGUUCACUUUUAUCCGGCCAAAAUAAGAAAAUGUGGGAUGCCACGUUGAAGAAACUAGAAAGUGUUCCUCAUAAUAAAGUUAAGAGUAAGCUGAAAAUAAGUUAUGACGCAUUAGAUGAUAGUCAGCAGCGUAUAUUCCUUGAUAUAGCUUGUCAAUUCAUUGGAUAUUGCAAAGACAUUGUGUUUUAUUUUUGGGAUAUACCUAAUUUUUCUCCGAAAGUAGAUGUGGAAGUUUUGCAGAACAUGUCUUUAAUAAAGAUUGGAGAAGAUAAUAUAUUGUGGAUGCAUGAUCAACUCAGAGACCUUGGAAGAGAAAUAAUUCGUCAAGAAAGUGACAUGAAUAUAGAGAAGCAACGUUGGGUGUGGAAUCCCGAGGAUGGAUUAAAUCUACUAAGGAUACAUGAGGUAAAAUGCUUUGUGCUAUACAUCUCCAAAUUACUUGUAGACAUUUUCUUUUCCAAAAAAAAGUAGUUACUUUUUGUGUUCUCUAGCACGAUCGCGACCUACUCAACCGAUAUGUUUGGUCUUUUAAGAUUUUAAAGGAAUGAUAGUAGUCAACUCAACCCUUAAAAUAAUGAACUUGAAGAAAUGUGUUUCCUUUCAACUUUUUUGUUUUAAAAUUUUUCUUUUGGGCAGGAAAAGAAAGAAGUUAAAGCUCUUCAUCUCAAGUUUGAUGAUCAGCAUCGUUUUACCUAUAAGGACUUUAAGAGCCUGCCAAAUCUAACGUUCCUUGAAGUGGACGACUUGAAGGAAAAUUGUUGUGCCAAAAAGGAGCUUUUUUGUCUCGAAUGGCUAUCAAAUUGUCUUCCAAUUAAUAUUUUCCAGAGGAAUUCAAAUCUCCUUCCACAAUUACGAUGGCUUUCUUGGCAUAAUAUUCACCCAACAUUUAAGAUUGCAAAUUUCUCCGUAGAGAAUUUGAUUAUCCUUGAUCUAUCUCGGAGUGAAAUUACUCAUGGUUGGAAGGGGUGGAGCCACAUGAAGGUAUGCUAUAUGCUAGACAACACUUAUUCUUCGUUCUUAUUAGAUUCAAAAGUAAACUUUGCAUGAUUUUUCUUUCACAGGUGAUUGAGAAUUUGAAAGUUCUGAAUUUGGCCCAUUGCCGACACUUGAAGAGAACCCCCAACUUCUCAGCUCAUUCAAAUUUAGAACAUUUAAUCCUAUCAAGCUGUGAAACAUUAAUGGAAAUUGAUAGAUCAAUAUGUCAGUUGGAAAGCUUGGUUUUCUUAGAUGUAAGCUAUUGUCAGAGUCUUCAGAGGCUGCCAGAUGAGCUGGGUAGAGAUCUUGCAACCCUUGAAUACCUAUCUCUAAGAGGAUGCUCGAGUUUGGAGAGGCUUCCGGAGACAAUCGGGAAUUUGGAAUCGCUGAUUGAGUUGAACAUAAGUUCCACGAGAAUCAAAGAACUACCUGAUUCCAUUGAAAAGUUGAAGAAUUUGAAAAUAGUGAAUAUGCAGGAUAGUGACAUAAAAAAAAUACACGAUGCCUUUUGGACGAUGGAGAAGCUUGAAAUAAUAAAACUAAGCAAGCUGCGUAGGAUGAGCAAGCACGAUAUGUAUCAUUAUGGACACGUGGAAUUUGGUGAUUGCAUCUAUGAGAAUAAAUCCUUGAGGAUCUUGAGAUUGUCAGGGGUGGAAAUACACGCCCUACCAAGGCUUCCUGAAAGUCUCAUCAAAUUAGAACUGGAGGAGUUGAGGGUGGACACGUUUCCGGAUCUCUCAAAUCUCACUAACUUAAAGGUAUUGCAUUUUGGCCUUGGCCCACCUAAUUGUGAUGGGAAAGCUUAUGGGCUUCUGGAAGAACCGAUACCGCGGUGGAUUGGGAACUUAAGCAAAUUGGAAUCUCUGAAACUCUUGUAUUUAUGGGGGAGCGCCUCAUCGAUGGACCUCAGCCUCCCUCCUCAUCCGCAUCGCCUCCCGAGGCUUCCCUCAAAUUUGUCCUCCUUACAUCUCCGUGGUUGCAACUCACUUUGCUCAAUGGAUCUAUCGAAUUUGAGGAAACUAUCGUCUCUCUUGAUUUGGUGCUCUGCAGUUGCAAAGAUUGAAGGCCUUGGUUGUUUGGAGAACCUUCGAGAUUUGGACCUUCACUGCGUCGGACAACUAACAAUGCUACCUGAUCUGAGCAAGUUAAACAAGCUAAGGAGUAUUCUAUUAUGGAGUUGCGGUAAUCUGGUGGAGAUUCAGGGCGAACUACCUCAAUCUUUGGAAUUGGAAUACUUGCAUAUUGAAUCCUGUGAAUAUUUACAGAAGUUGCCUGAUCUAUCAAGCUUGAAGGGACUGCGAGUGGUUGAAAUAAGAAGUUGUGGGAAAUUAGCGGUGGAGGAAAUUUCUCAGCUUUGCUCGGAGAAGUCAAUCCGAUUUGUGGGCGACGAAGCAGACAUAGUACUGGAUUGGGCAUGUAUACGAACAUAUAAAGGAGGACGAUGGGCAAGAUGAUGAAUAAGUGCACGUUGCACUUGGAAGCUUUUUGAUGCACGACCACAAAUUGUUCCCUUGUGUUCAAACCUUAAACGAAUUGAGGUAAGUACUUAAUGUUUUCCUUUUUUGGCAAUCAAAUUCUUUCACAGAUAUGAACAGAGAAGUUUUGCACGCACUUUUUAAUGACCUUUUAGCAGAUUCUUGUCUGAAAAUCUGAUGAAGGUAUUUAAAUUAUGAUGCCUCCGAAAAGCCAGAGGGCUCUUAAUUAUGCACAAGUAUUUGUGUUCUUUUCCUAGUUUGGUUUGGCUUUUUCAGCUACAUUUUCUUAGGAUGGCUUCUCCUAGAGGUAUGCAUGUCGAUUGCAUCAUUUUUAUUUGAUAUGUAACAAAUUAUUAGAGAUCGUUGUUGAUUUGCUGCUUCACACAUAUUUUGAAAUUGAUAACCUCACUUCGCAUGGGAGAUAAAUUCACUAUGCUGUAAACAAAUAGAUGGAAUGUGUGUUGGAAGGUCAUACAACUGUGGUUCUCAUCCUGGGACUUUACAGCACAAUCAACUCAUUGUUGUGACUUUGAAGUAGACAGACACUCUGUAUUGCCAUGCUUAAGUUUAGCUUAUUUUUCAGGAAAGGUGUGCUUCUUAGUGGGAUUUGCAAAUGUUAUGGAGAAGUCAUAAAUGAGGGAGCCACCGCAAUUCUGAGAUUACCAGUGUGGCAGCACUGGCUAAAGCAGCAGCACCAGAAUAUUUUAUCUCAGCAAUGAUGCCUUCAAUCAUAGCAAUCUUUGACGGGCACACUGACAAAAAUCAUUAUGUGCAGCAAUCAUCACCAACAGGAGUAACUGAGAGAAUGCAGCAUUUGCUGUACCAGUAGAGAAGGAGCGCCCUUUUGUUGAGACUUGAGAAUUGCACUCACUUACAAAAGAUUGGUAAGAAAAAGAGGGCACCUUCCCUUGGGGCUGCCUUCAGUAAUAGAACUGUGCAUUCUGAAGCAAUAUUGGCAUUGUUUCUGUCAUGAGAUCCACUCAAUUCCAGGAAAACACUGGCACUGCCACCAAAGUCGGUUAUGCGUCAUAUGCUACUCGCCACCUCAGAAGAACUUUCAUCAAGUAGUGGUGGCUCUUCCACGUACGCAGAACCUUUCAUAGAACCUAGUGAUCAUAAAAAAAGAGCUUUACACAAGCCAAGCGUCAAUUUGAGAAAUUCUUCCAUAUUCUUCGCAUGUACAAACUCCAAAAGGAUUCCAAUCCGCCAUACUACUUUCAGUUGAGAAAGCAACUUGGGAUCCAUUUCUGGAGCCGAUGCCAGAGCCACGCGCAGCUCAACAUCAUUCACAUUUGCACAGGACAGAUCACCAAGUGAAAAUCUAAAGCAGUGGCUGACUGUCUUUGGUUGUAGAUCUCAGAAAUUUUAGUCAAGUUGAACUCUAUGAGCAUCAGGAGGAGCUUCUGCACGCACAUUGGUAUCGGGGUCCUCAUCCUCAUUCAAGGUCGGUCAAAGAGGGAGAAAUUGCAUCUAGGAUAUGGAUUUCAAGCCUGGCAGCUUAUGCUCUAACUCUGGAGUUUUUAUUAGGAAAACGAACAUUGCAUCAAACGGAAUCUUGAGGGACAGAAAUCUGGCAUCACCAUCCUUGUUGCCCUUAUACAGAACAUCCAGACUCAGCAGAAUCCCACAGAUGAAUACGUCAGAGCUUUCAAGAAUCCAGUAUGACUCCUCUAUGAUGGACUCAACGCUUGCAUUUUGAGCCGGCAAUGCAGGUUCUAGGAACGGAUCAACGUUGUGCUCUAUUUUCCUUGUUCAAUCCUGAACUUCUCUUGGAUUGUGUUUGUAAUUAGUGUGAUGAAUUCUGCUUCGUGUGAGUGUGAACCAUCUAAGUUUUGCCUGUCCAGUGUUUGGUGAUCAUGUGCAAUUUGGUGUUUGAUGAAAUGAGCUAUGUGCUUGAGAUUGCGUGUGCUGGAUUGUCACCUUCAAAGCACUUGAAGCUGAAGCGCAAGGUCUAUUGCAAUGGCUUCCUCUCUUUCCUAUAUCCACCAGCAAGGUACCUUCGCUUUCACUACUAAUCUCUACUGCUGAUGUCCAGCUCAACCCGAUCAGCAAUUUAGUUGCCUUUGAUUGGGCUAGGACAUGAUUCAGUUUGAUUGGCUAAUCUAUGUCAAAAUGGCAGUGGCUAUUGAAUUAUUACCGUUUUCUCCCAAAUUUAGCUUGCUCAAUCGAACUGAACAGCAGCAGCUUGAUGCUGCGUAGGAUUUCAUUUUUUUCUAUCAUCAUGAAUUGUUCUGUUCUGUGCUUCUGGUUGUAAUACUUGCCGUGAUUGAGCUUGUUUUGAGUAGAUUAGUCCAUGCUGUGAUUGAUGGUCGGAUAAUGCUGUAUCAUGGUAGUGAGCAGCAGUUGGAAUGCAGGAUUUUGAAGAAUGAUGAAGUUAUUUGUUCCGGUGAGUCACUGAUUUCAAUGCUUAUUUGGUUGAUGUUGGAGAGCCUGAAGGAGGACAAAAGCCUCUAGAUGAUACUUAUAUUUACAGCAUGAUUAUUGUUUGGCAAUUGGAUUUAUAUCUGCCGAGGGUAUUCCUUGCUUGUCUUCUUCAUAGUUGUUUUGUUGGUUCAAAUCAUCAGUAGGUGCAAUGUGAUGAAUGUGAAGUUCUUGGGUUUGGUUUGUUAAAAGUCCAAAUGGGUAUAUUUUACUUAUUGUUUGUCUUCGAAAAAAGAGCGUUGCUUGCAUACAAAUACGCAUAGACCCUCCUUUGUGAUGCUUUUCCUGUUGUUCGUCUGGGAAAUUAAAUGUUUGUUCUUUUGCUUGCUUCAAACACCUACUUGGGUACGGUUCAUGUAUUGAUUGAUUCAGAAUCUAGAUGUAAACAUUUGCAAUUGAUCUACUGUUGCUUUUGUUCAAUGUGCAACUGAUCUUUUGAAACUCCAUUUUUUUUGUUAAAGUUUUUCCUUUUGUUAACCUUACUUUCAAUUGAUGCAGAGCUUUGGUUGAGUUUCUGGAUAUGAGGUUCACUAUAAUCCCCUCUCUGAAUUACGAGGUGUGUUUUCCUUUUAGCUACUUAAAUCCUUUGGCAUGGAAUCUACAGUUGUAUUGCCUACAUGACUUUUCAUUUUCUGCAGAUGCUCCUAAUUCCUCAGAAACCGAAAAAGAAACAUUGGUUAUUUUAGAAGAAACUGGUCGCUUAUGAUGUUGCAACCUGCCUGAAAUGGGAACCAAAUUGAUUCUACAUGUAUAGAUUCUACAUCCCAAAUAGCACAGCUUGCUUUACAAUGCCUCCAACUGACUCCUCACGAGCAGCCUUCGAGGACUUAGUGGAAGAACUGGAAUCAGUAGACACUGGCAUCGCUAAUAGAAUAGAACGGGAUAGUUAAAUUCACCUAUUAUGUCAUUCUUACUUCAUGUGAUGUAAGUCAAAGUCUGUUGUUCCACACUUUUCCAUUUUUCCCCGGAAUAAUCCUGGGCUUUGAAUGUUCAUUUCUAUUGUACCCAGCAGUUACUAGGAGUUGUCUUCUAUUGUAAGUUCUUUAUAAUAUCCAUGACAUGUAUAUUAAUACAUGCAGUGCUUUGUGAAUUGAGAUGUGAUUGUACUUAUGUUUAUGAGAGGAACGGUUCUUUAAGGCUAAUCCUCGAUCUUGUUGGCAAUCUGAGGUCCAUAGAAGAAGUCCAUUGCUCUUCAAGAGUCCGAGCUCUUUAAUUUUCUUGCAUGCUUAGGCUUUGAACAUGCGCAAGAGCUCAUUUGGUUGCCAUCACGAAUGUGUUUAUGUGGUGCUUGCUCUGCAAUCAAUCUCCAGGAAGAGCUAGGCGGUUCAGUCCAUUCUCAUAGUAUUUUUGAGCUAUGAGACAUGGUUGCGGAAAUUGAUGGAGUCAUUUAAGGCAAAGUGCUGCUCAGUUGUCCAUUCAGAAAGAGCAAGAUAUGACUUUUGGUGCUGUCAUGUUGCAGCUAAGACAUGUCUGAUUGUUUUGUGUUGAUAAGAGACAUUUCUUAUAAUAUGCUAGUUUUGGAUAAGACUUUCCAUAUGACAUUAUAAAUGACUAAAUUUUAUUUUUAUAUUCUCAGUAACUUAGCCCAUUGGUUAUUGUCGUCUCUUCACUGUUUGUAAAUCUGAGGGCCCUAUUAUUUUCGACACCUCUCAUGUAAUUUUUUUUUUUUUGAACUUGUUGAUAUGUCUCUUUUACAUCACUCUCAACGUAAAAAUAUAAAAGUUUCCAUCAUUUUUCUUUUUAAUUUUAUACAAAUUAAAACAAAUAAAUUGAUUACACUAAAGAACUUUCUAAAUAUAUGUUUAUCAAAUAGUAUUUUCCCAAUGUUACUUCUCAAGUCAUUUUAAAUUGCAAAUUACCAAACAAUCUUUGCAUUUCACAGAACUCCUUUAGGCUAAGGGCCUUUACAUUAGCCAAAAGCUUUCCCCAAAAGUCAAAGCAAACGCAUGAAAUUGAGCUUUAUGCAGACCUUUUGCUUGAUUGUUGUUGCCCUGCUAUGUGACCCGCUGUUUCGUGUAAAUCAGCGAUAUAGCCGUCGUCGUCAUGGCUCAAGUGCUCUUGGAGAUCCGGCCUCAUGAAGUCAAGUUUAUCUGUGAGUGUAUAUAGUGCUGUGCGUUUGGUUCAUUUUUAUUUUGGAGCUACAUUCAAUUUGCGUUGCUUGCCUCCUGUUUUUCUAGGCAAUUAGUGAAGGGGAUGAUAUUUCUUUGUUCUACAAUAAUUUGCUUGAGAAUUUGUGGUUCAACAUCGUAAAUAAUGGUAAAAGAAAUAUCUUAAAUAAGAGCUUCGAUGGCAAGUAUGAAUCGGUUAUUGGUCGCCCUGUUUUUCAAAUUCUUUUCCUUGUGUUGUUUUCAAAUUUUUGGUUAGGUUCUUUCUUUUUGCAUAGUUUCUAUCCUCGCACCACAAACUCUUAGAAUGCCUUGUGAGGUGAAUUUCUUUCCCGAGAUAAAGUAAGUGAGUGUUGUAACCAAAUGACUGAGAAUGAUCGGUAGAGAAAACCAACACGCAAAAUGAGAUUUCGUUGCUGCAUUAUGGCUUCAAAGAAAAUGUAUGAUGGUCCAUUUCAUCACAUCCUACUCUCAUGUCAUGCCCCGUUAAGUUCUUUUAUCUGAAGCCUCUUCUCCAUGUUUAUGCAGUUGAGUUGAGUAAACAAAGCUCAUGCUUGAUUCCGCUACCCAACAAGACUGAUUGGUAUGUUGCUUUCAAGGUGAGGAGUUUUUGCACCUUUUCAUUCAUCAUGAUCGUGCUUUACUUUUUUUAAGGUAUGGCGGGCGAACAAUUUUCUUUCAAUUCUGUAUUCUCUUGAUGUAGUUUAAAUUUCAGAGUAGGACAUCAAUGCAUUAAAAGCUCUCUACUAUGGAGAAACAUUAUGAGCUUUAUACUGGAUAUCCAAAACAUUCCAGGUUAAGUCUACAUCUUUGAAGAAAUACUGUGUGCGACCAAAUGUAGGCAUCAUCAAGCCAAAUGGAGCAUCUGAUUCAAAAUUGUGCUGCUCAAGUCCAAGGAACAUCUUGUUCACAUACUUAUUAAAGCCACUAACAUACUUGUGAGGAGGGACACGCCUACAGUACCUAAAUCAGCUAAAUAAUUCUUUUGCAAUUUCUUUGCCAUGACAUGUCAAUUGGACUUUAUUAUUGUUGGGUUACAAACUACUUAAGGUAGAGUCAGUCUAAUUGCAGCAAGGAUCAUCUUUGAAUAAGAUUUUGAAUGCCUAUCAUAGUAGCCUAAUAUACAUCGAGAAAAGGAAAACCACGAUAGGCCUCAGAAGCUAUGUCCCGAUACUCCAAAAGAAUUGGAGUUGGCCUUUCAUCCUAUCUUCUGUUUGAUGUAAUUACCAUGUAAGCACGACAGGUAGCUCCAACUAUCCUGUAGUGCAGAGAUAAUUUUUUGAUACAGGUGAAGAGGACUACUGACAUGGUAGGUUUUGCUGCUAUAUGCCCCAUAAUCUUCCAGGUCAAGUAACUUGAGAAAUUUUCUUUUAAAUUUUCAAAUUGAUAAAGAAAGUGGUAAAUACAUAGAUGAGAGGAAGAUAAAAGCAGUUCUAACCAGUCCAGUGGAAUCACUAUCAGUGCUGCCAGAUUGUUGAGAUCGGAAGCAAGAUUCAUCUUCCAAGACUACCAUCCCAAAGGAUAUCUCACCUGUUGGAGUCGAAAAUGCGUCACCUUUUCUCAAGGUAUUACUGCCAAAAAACAUCAAUAUGUCACUUUAUUGUCUUUCUGGAUUGAGAUGGCAUUUUAUCUAAUACAUGUAUCGGGGCUUUGCCACAGCCUUGGCUAGGCCGUAUGUUAUUUAUUUGUGAAUGGAAAUCAAGUUGCUGCACAUCAUCUAUAAAUUGAUUUACCUUUUUAGCAACUAAAUGCGAGUGUAUGGGAUAUCUUUUUUCUCGUAUUAACUGUACGUGAAUCCAUUUCUAUGUCUCAGGAAAGAUUGGAAAUCAUAGAAUAUGACUUCUGUUCUUACUCUUAUAUUCCAGAAGGAUUGUCUUUUGAUGCCAGGAUCCUGAAGGGUGGACGUGUCAGAGGUUUUAAGGAGUUAAAAUCAACACUCAACGAGGUGAUACAAAGUUGAAAGAGGUUAGUUUUCUUCCCUUGGUUGAUUUGAAUUCGGGUCUACUUUCACCAGUCAAAUCACUGGGAGGACGGUUUCCCUUCCACUACACAAGCCACCCUUGAUUGCCCAUUUUAUGCAGAUGAGGAUAGACAGAAGAGGGGAAGAAUUAUUAAAAGGAAGAAAAGAAAAUUUAUAAAAGGCAUAGGUGUUGAGUUGGGAGAAUUGCAAAUUCAGUCAUAAAUUUAUUUGUACGAAUAAUCAAAUAAUGGAAAACAUGUUUGCUCUCAUAUUCUUGGUUCACUGCUACUACUGACACAUUGGUUCUUACGAAUUUCUGGCGCUGCAUGUAUUGAAGAUUACGUUUUUGUUUACUGAGUAAAAUGGCACGAAAUUGUUAUUGCCAAGUCAGAGUCGACCCGACUAUCACUAGGGACUACUCGAGUUUGGUACUACUGCUGAUGCUACUGCUAUGUUAGUGUUGUGUCUUGGAGAGGUGGUUAGAGAUAAUUUAGGCUUGCUGACUUGGGGUCUUUCUUGUGAUUUCUCUCGGGUUGUCCGAGUCAUGGCAUAUCCCUUAGCUGAUAUUAUUGUCAUAUCUUUCGUUGUGAACUUGCACUGGAGUUUGAUUUUCUCAUUGUUGGGAUCCAUCAAAAGGAAGAUUCUGUCCUGUAAGAUACUUCCUUGAAGAUUAAGAUUUCACUGCCUUAAAUUAGUUUUUUUGUGUUACAAAACUCUUGAAAUAGUAUAUUUGUAUUAUAUUUACCUCCAAAUUAAUUUUCGUGUAACUAGCCUAACGUGACUCAUGAGAUUAUCUGUUCAGCCCCGUCCCCGAACCAUGGGAAGAAAAAUACAGGAAUUUUGGAGAAAAAGAUGGGGGUUUUUAGAGUGAAACAUGUUAGCCAAUCUACAUAAGUUACAGUAGACCAAAAAAUUAGAGACUCCGAGAAGUUAUCAAAUGUGCCGUCGUUGCGGUGCUAGUCAGAGAUUAUCUUCAGAUCGGGCUGCCCUCGGGGGGAGAAGAGGCCGAUGGGCGAUCUUAAGAUUCUGUUUUCAUUCUUGCAUACAGUGAAAUCACUGCUGAAGGAUGAAGGGUAACAAAACUCGAUCCUUGAUUUUGUGAUAAAAAGGUCAUCAUCGCCUAUUCUUUACAAUCUGGUCCUUUUCCUUUGUCUCAAUCAACCUUGUGUCGACCUCUUGAUAAAUAUAAAGCACAAGAGGUGUGCAAUUAUGUUACUGAAAAGCUAGAAUUCUGCUUUCCAGUGCUUGAACCACUUAAGUGACGAUGCCUUGCUUUUUGUCUUAAUGCAGUUAGCUGGUGUCUCCCCUGAUCCAGAAUGAGUUGGGUUCAUCCUCUAACCUCAGUGGUUGAUUAUGUAGUUACUUUUAGUUGUUGGAAGCCCCAUCAGCAACAUCAUUUGAUUUUAUAACCCUCUUUUUAUGGGUUUAUGAAUCUGCAACCUUAGUCAAUUGAGCUCUUAUUUGAUUGAGCUCAUGUGUGAAUGUCUGAUGCAAUUAGCUCAACAGAUGGUGCAUGAUCACAUCAUCCUAUUAUCCAAUAUCUAUCUUUUGCUCAACUAGAGGGUGUGACAGUUGUUGUCAUGCUUGGUGCAUAUUGUUCCUAGGUUUCAUCUUCCAGUGCAUUGUUAUUGAAGAACCUGUCUUGGCUUGUUUUAGUGUUCUACAGUUUUUGGCCGUUGACUGCAUAAUAAUAUCUGUAUUUCCCCCCACAGAAUAUGGUAUCUUCUUGGUGGCCUGCUAUUUGACUACCCUCUCUGUUUUAUAGUACAUUCUCAACGUAAAUGCAGAAGGGUGUGUUCCCAAUAUCCACUUUGUAAAAGAUCAAAGAAUUCCACUUAUGUACUUGUUGCUCUUUGCUUGAAAAAAUUCUACUUCAUUAUGCAGUAUGGUUCUGGUACCGAGACAUCAGGCCAAAGAUGUGCACUGUACUGCAUACAGCUAGAUGAAUAAUGGACGUAUUUUGCUCCAAGAGAUUUCAAUUUUCCACCCAAGUAGCUGUAGUUGCUGCAUGUUGCGAAAAGAUCCAUGCCCAAAGCGAACUCACUUGUUUUGACCAUGCCCGGUUUUUUGUCGUUCAUGCUUUCAAAGUGGUUGGCUAUUUGGGUGGAGUGCUGUUUCUUGUUUUUGCGGUAGUGACAUUCAUCGGAGUUUUCUAGAGGUUUUCAAUCUGCUGAAAGAGUGGGCUCUGAGCUCGUGAGGUGUGAUAUUGCUUGCGGACUUUGGUUAGAGCGACAAGAUCUAAAUAGGCUGGAAAUAAGGUGCUGAAGAUUCACCAUAGGCCUCUUCUUUAUCGCUUGUUUUCAUGUAUAUUCACAACUGCAAACGAGGUUGACUUGAGGCAUGUGAAAUAAGAGUAAAUGCUGAGAACUUUGUCUAGGCAUUGGUGCAAUUUUCUUAUUUGAAGCUUUAUUGGCCAUCGAAUCUCAUCAUCAUGAACAAGUUUGCAGUUUCAUUCCGAUUUUGAUUAGUUCCAACACAUGGUCCAAGACUCUUAUAAAUGCUAUGUAUCAGAAUUCUCCAAGUUGGAUCUAAAGUUACAUACAUAACAUGAUGUUUUUGUUCUGAGAUACUAAUAUUAAAAGACAGCUUGUUAUAAGUAUGUCGAUAUUUUCCCGUGACUAGUAUGGUUCUUUUUCAUUCUUUCACCCAUUUCACCGUAACACAUGGUGCUACAACAAUCAUACCCUCAAGAACAACGUAGGUUGGGUUGGGAAAACAGUUAUAUCUCGGUAAUUGGAAGAUUAAUGUGGGACUAGCCAAACAGGGGAUCAUGAUUUUCCCUAGAUAAGAUGGAUACUCCCGAGGUGGUCAUUUAGUUAAUUUCAUUGUGGAGACCAAAUGGAAGAGGGAUUGAGUAUGUAGGGGAUGAGUGGAAGAAGAAUUCACCAAUUCAAUUAAGAGUGACUUCAAGCUAUAUGGUGUUUCCUUGAUUAGUUUUUUAUUCAUAAAGUUAGUCUACACAAAAAGGCAAUUUGAUUUGACUUCAGGCUAUUAUUCUAGUUGCAAUUUGAUUCAGCAAAUAAAAUGCAUACAUUGCAGUCAAUCCUACAAAAUUUAUUUUGACAUAUCCUCCAGAAUCAAUGCCUCUUUGCCAAUUUGCAUUGCCAUUCUCCUAAAAAUAAUGACAGGUCUGCUAGGGUAGGAGCUCAUCACUUCUCACAAAUUCUUCGUUAGGCUAGUUAGGCUAGUAAUACUUGCUGAAUAAUGUGUAAAAAUCACAAUGAUUAAAAAUGAAAAUUACUAGAUUUCAUUUUGGAGUAGUGAUUGAGAAAUCAAACUCAAACUCUCGGCCUCUAUUCCAACCUUCUCAAUUAAAGAAUGGCUAGUAAGAAUGUUGGGACUUGAUUUUGUUGUUUUACUUCUCUUUUGGGCAAAUUUAAAGAAUCUCUUAACGAUUAUGCAUUUAAAAGUGGUGUUACGAGUAAGGUGUCGCAUUCGCUUUAAAUUAGUUUUUUGUGUUACAAAACUCGCAAAACAAUAUAUUUGUGUAACAUUUAUCCUCAAAUUAAUUUUCGUUUAACUAGCCUAACGGGAUUCGUGAGAUUAUCUCUUCGGCUGUCCCCCAACCAUGGGAAGAAAAGGACUAGAUUUUGGAGAAAGAGACGAGGUUUUCAGAGCGAAACACACUUGCCAACCUACUUCAGACCCAAAAAAGAAAAAGCACACUUGCCAAUCUACGUUUGUUUUUUUUUGUUUUUUUUUUUUUUUGAGCAAGAGUCUAUCUACGUUAGUUAAAAGAGGACCAAAAUAUUAGGAAAUUCCGAAAAAAAUUCAGAUGCGCCGGCGCCGUGGAGGUAGUCGGAGAUUAUCUCUUCGGAUUGGGCGCGUCGACGGGCGACAAGACGCCGACGGGACGGCGGUGUGAGGUGGCGGAGCUCGGCGGCCUUCUUGAAGAGACCCUUUGCGCCUCUUCGGGUAGGCCACGAUUCCCUCGGCCGAAGAGAUAAUCUCUGACUACUUCCGCGGCGGCGGCGACGGCGACGUGGUGCCGCCGAUGGGUGUGACUGGAUUGAGGUUGAGUGGGAUUCUUGCGCGACGGAGGAGGACGUGGAGUCCCGGAUCGGCGAAGGAUGACGCCGUUCGUGAUUUUGUACGCAAAGAAAUUGGAAAGAUUUGGGAAGAAUUCGUCUGCGAUGAUCGGUGCUGGCGAAGAUUCCGGAGCUGGGUUUGGUUGUAAUUCUGAAAUUUCGGCCGAUCAAGAGAUGGGUUCCGUUUUCGAGAGCUUCAAGGCUCGUUGCCAGGCUCUCUUCGCGGACUUGCGUUGGAGAUGGCGACGGCUUCUUGACUUCGCCGGAUAACUCGGCCAUCGACGGUGGAGGCUUGGGAGAGGAGUCGACGCUCUGCGAUGAGGGCUAUGGAUAUAAUCCCGACCCACUUUCUUACACUUGAAGAUUUGGAUGUUCUUCUGUGAUGUAAAUGUGAAAUGCAUGUGAUUGUUCUUAUUAAACUGCACCGUGCAGAAUACAUGGGGGUGGUCGUGUUCAAAUUCGUCACUUUUCGGAUGAGAAAAGCAUCAUUUAGUCAGUUGUUUCGUGGGUGAAUUGGGGAUAGAGGGGAUUCAUGAUUUCAGUGGUAUGUCUCUUUUGCUAGACUGUGAAAGAGACUAGCUUUGAUUUAGACUGUCUCAGUAUGGGGAUGAAUUGACUGUCGGGGGUGAUGAAUGGUGGUGCCAGUGAAUGUGAAGCUUUCCACUGUCUGUGGAGUACUAUUGCUCUUUAGAUCGGAUAGUUUAUGCAACUAAUUAUCUGUCCAUUGAUGACUUCUGCGGGGGGAAACUCAGAAAAUAGUUAUAGAGAUGUGGUUUUUAAACUGAACUUACAACUGUGAUGCACGUCUUGAGGUAACAUCGGGCAGUUUGUUCUGCGUCUGCUUCAUAUCUUUCGGGUCGUAGGAAAAGGUAAAAUUUCUGAAGGAACACAAUUAAAAGCAGUGAUUUGGAAGUCCUGUUAUAUGCAGUUCCUUUCUUAUCCUUCUCAAUGGACUUUGGUAUGGACAAAAAUUUGGGAGAAUAUUGUUUGCUUGCCUUACCUUUAUCAUAAUUAUCUAUACUCCUGUAAGCAUCUUAAUGAUGAAGAUCGUCAUAUACUUUACCAUGCCAUUGGUUGCUCAUUACACUAUUAAGGGGUCUGUCUUUCAAGGGAUCAACCCAGUUCCAUCAUCAAAGGCAUUGUAUUGGAAGGCAGAUUGUGGUGGUUGUAUCUUGCAGAUGAUAAAGUGACUGUAUUGGAGUCAGAGAAGCGGACUUGGGAGAAUCUGCUAGAAGCUCAGGCUAUCGGAUAAGCUGUAAAUCCUUGGAGAAAUCAUGAUGCAGAAGCAAAAAAUAAUUCAUAGUGCCACCAUUGUUGAGUUUGUACCUGGUAUGAUUUCUUCUCGAAUGCUCUCAUUCAACAAGGAGAGAACUUUUUGUAAACCAUGCUCUUUGAUGGAGAAGUUUGAUAGCAUUCAGAACAAAUAGGUCUAGGUGGUGGAGCUAUUUUGCUUAACUCCUUUUAGUUAAUGUGUAAUCCAUGUAUUUUAUGAGACAUUUUGGCAAUAGGUCCUAAUGCCUCUGGCUAUAAGACUUGUGCAUUAUAAUUGAUGGGAUGAUCACACAUUAGUUUAUUGGAUUAUGUUUUAUUCUUUUCGCCCUUAUAAGUUGGCAAAGAGUAUCUAAAAUUGGAUGACCAUACGUACUGAUGCUGGAAGCUGUGAGUGAACUUUUAAACAACUGAGGUCAUGUUUUGGAUGCUUGAAUAUUGUCUGCAGUACGCCAGACACAUAUCUGCACAUUGCUUCUCUGUCCUGGAAUGAAUUUGGAAUACCCUGAAAUGUUUUGAGGCGAUUUUGUAUUUGGCUGCUUGGCAAUUAAUCUCCUGUUCAGUGAGUGAGAUUUUCCUGUAUGUGAGUUUUGGAAAUUCUACGUUUUCUUGGCAUUGUUCUGUAUGUGCUUCCCUGAUCAUCGCCCAAUGGUCUGUUUAGAGUUGGCUGCUUUGUUGUCCCAUAUGGCAACAUGGAUUGUGUUUUUUGUUUUUUUUUUUUUUGGGCUUCCAGAGCUCAGUAUCUUUCAUGUGCUUUAUAAAUAUGAACGACUGGAGUUCAGACUCUGUCAUGUGCAUGUCUCUACGCAGUUUUAUUUAUUUUGAGCGGUGUUGGAUUGGGAAUAUUCGUGCAGGAAAAAAUUUGAUGUCUGAAUGGCAAAUUUACUAUUAUUUCCUACUGGGGCCGAAUUUUUCUCAAGAAUAUCAAAGCAGCGGUUCUAUGCAAUCAGGCUAGUAAAUGUAAUUACUCGGGAAUGAAUAGUGAAGAGCUGGUUACUUUGUUUAGUUUCUUGUUCCUGUUUUUCUUUUUAACUCACGCAAUUGUUUGGGUCGAGAAUGUGAUGCCUUUAGGUGAUUCAGAAUUAACAGUUAAAGAACCAGGACUCACAGAAAAUUUCCUUUCGCUGCAUUGGUCAAUGACCAAUCUUAAUUGGGCUGAUAUGUAGACGUUAUUUGAUGUGCAAAAGCUGAUGAAUGGUGUAAUUUGAUUAUAUCCUAUCACCUCACAAUUGGGUGAGAGAAAAGUCGCGACGAAAAAGGAUUGUGAUUAGAUAAUUUGAUUACAUCCUAUCACUAUUCUUUCACAUUCACAUCGAUUUAAAUUUGUCUCUUUUCUACUAAUUAUGUGAAGCAACGAGUGUGUUGCAAGAAGAGAGUUUAUGAUUAGAUGCUACUGAUCAUUCGGAUAGCCGGCUUCUGGGGCAAGGAUGACAAAGUUUGCUUAAGAGGGGAGAAAUAGGAAGGUCGCUAUAAUUAUUUAAUGUGAGGUUAUACUAUUCUGUGGACAGAGUAAGAUCAAGAUCAAUCAGAGUGACAUUAUGGACUUGCCUUUGCAAUCAAUUUAGUAAGCUCUUCCUUACUUAUUCUGUUGAGUCGUCGUUUUUAUUUGAUUGAAUUUUUAAAAUAUCUUUACUGGACAAGCUUAAUCUCAACACAAGUCAAUGUUUUAUUAUUAUUAUUAUUCUCAACGCUUAAUUUAAUAAUCAAAUAGGCCCUAAGUAUUCUUCAGUUUCAAUCUAUCAUAAUAUUUGGGUGCCCAUCCAGUCAACAACGUAGGACCAUGAUGUCAAGACCGAGCGUCAAACUCCAGUGAAAAAAAAAAAAGCUAGAUUUGACCGUAACAAGAUGAACUGGGAUAAGAUAAGAUAAUAUACAAUAGAAUAAAAAAAAAACCCUCAAUUCUAUGUAUUAACAUAUUUGAUUCCCUCAAGUGUUUGGUGCGUCAAUGUCGUGAUUAAAAAAUAAAAAUAAAUAAUCAACGAAACAAUCGAAGAAGGGACAAAAAGAGGAAAACUACCUGAAAACUGAAGCGACCACGACAUGGCCACCGUGGUGGGUGCCAGCCGCCAUGAUGCCCAUCUGUGACAAAAGUAGUCCAUGACAACUUAAUCGCAUAUAGCCCCAAUAGUUUGUGACAAAAGUAGGCUGUAUCGCUUCUGUCGAUCUUGUACAGUUAGCAUCUUCUAAUCCAUGACAACUUAGUCCGAUGUUUUUCGUUCAAUGAAUAGCUGCGACAUACGUUUUACUUGGGAUAUUUUGGGAUACUUGGUGAGUACACUCAUAGCUGAAAUGCCAUUAUCAUACAUGUUGCCUAUCGAGCAUUUUGGGCUAGGCAGAAACAGUUGGAAAACCUCCGGGAUCGGCGUCUAAUAUAGUGUCAGGAUUGUUUAAGUAUGACUAAGCCAUCUCGUGGUUCAUAAUAGCGAUUCAGAAUCGGAAAACUGAGUGGUAAUCCCAUCUUUUUAGCCAUUGAACAACUUGAGUCCUGUGAUACCUCCCGAUCCCUGAAUCUUUAGGGAGACAAAGGGAAGGGUAUGAGGAACCAAAGAGGUACAAGUUAACAAAAGAAACUUUAUUUGCAUGACAUUUCGACAAAACACAAAUUAGCUUGAUUAGUGGCUAAGUAACAUCGACACACAACAGUCUCAGUAUACCUUCACGACGGUGUUUCAUUGAAAAAGCGAACGGGAUUAUCCUUCACCAUCGUGCUCUGACGAAGUAACAUGUUAAAGAGAAGACCUCUCUCAGUGUCCGAGGGACGUGUACACGUGGGGCGUUUAACAAGAAUUAGCUUCGACCAAGCCCUGAGCUGCUGCGCUCAUCACAUUGAGGAGCCCUCUCGCCAGCCAUGAUAUAAUCGGUAGGUCUCUCGCGCCCUCAGAAUCAUGCCCGCAUGACAUAAUCAUUUUUCGGUUGAUCAACGUGGUCCAGAUACGAUGACAACCGGCCAUCGGAUAUCAGGAUAGCAUCUGAUCGCAAAUGAUUUUUUUUCUAUGGAACUUUGUUAUUACUGAUCAAAGAGAAAAAAAAGCACAAGAUAGCUAUACUGGGUUUUCUCUGCAGUAAGCCAAAAAGAAUUUGAAGUAAAUUUGGAGGGGAAACUACAUCAAGAACGAUGCCAAGAGAACAUAUAAAUUCCAGAAUCUGCAUAGAGGAAAAUCUCACUUGCCAAGCGGGAAAUUAAUUGCCGAGCAACCAAAGACAGAAAUUGCAUCAGCACAUUUCAGGAUGUUCCAAAUUCAUUCCAGGACAGAGAUGGCCAAUGCGCAGAUGUGGUCUGGCGUAAUUUUAAAUUUUAUUUUUCCUGCAGACAAAGUUCAAGCAUCAAGAAUACGAUCUGUGUGUUUAGAAGUUCACAUCUGCAUCUCACACUCAUCCAGCUUACAGUAUCAUGUAUAGUUGUCCGAGUUUAAAUGCUCUUUGCCGACAUAUAAAGGCAAAAAAGAUCAAAUAUAAUCAAAUAAAACUAAUGUUUGAUCAUCCUGCAAUCACCCCUCGGUCAUUCAAAAAGAAAGCCACAAAUUGGGCGAACGUAAUGAUCAAAAUAAGCUUGUGCACCAGAAAGGCUGACCACCAAUAGUACCACAAUGUCUAAUAGCUAGAAUUCUUAAGACCCGUUGCCAAAAUGUUGCAUGAGAAACAUCAUUUGCACACUAAAAGCAGUUAACCAAGAUUACUCAACCACGUAGACGUAUUUUUUCUAUAUGUUAUCAGACUUUUUCAUCAAGAACAUCGUUGAAAGAAAGGUCUAGUGAUGUGCAAUGAGAGCAGUCGAGAAAAAAAUCAUACCAGGAAUAACUCAACAAUGGCAGCACUAUGAGUUCUUUUUGCUUUCUGCAUCACGAUUCCUCCAAGGAUUCAGAGCUUCUCUGACAGCCUGAGCUUCCGGCGAAUUCUCCCAAGCCCGCUUCUCAGACUCCAAUUCAGUCACUUUAUCAUCUGCAACAUACAACCACCACAAUAGUUCUUGGUUAAUACAGAAAGACAGACGCUUUGGUAGUAAAAUAAGCAACCAAUGGCAUGGGAAAGAAUCUGAUAAUCUUCUUCAUGAAGAUGCUCACAAGAGUAUAGGUAGUUAUGAAGGCAAGGCAACCAAACAACAUUCUCACAAUCUUUAGUCUAUACCAAAGUCCAUUCAGAAAAAUGCAAGUGAUGAAAGCUCAUCAGUCUUCAAUAAGAUCACAAAGGAACUGCAAUUUCAACGGGACUACAAAUCACUUCAUCUAAUUGUGUUCCUUCAGAAAUUUUAACUCUUUGAUUAUACCCUGAAAGAUAUGUUAUAGCUGCAGAACAAUCCGCUCAAUGUUUUCCUGAGAUGUGCAUCACAGUCGUAAGUUCAAUUUUAAAACCAGUCUCCUAAAACUUUUCAGAAGUUUCUCCCACAGAUGGUAUCAAUGAACAGAUGAUUAGCUGCACAAGCCAUCCAUUCUCCACAGACGGUGUAACACUUCGCAUUCAUAGGUAUCGCCAUUCAUCACCUGAGACAACAUUUUUUCGCAUCAUGCUUUUCGUGCAGAACAACGAGAAUGUUCAGUUCAUCGGCAUAACACGACGGUCCAAAUCUAAGCCCUCCUCUUUCACAAGCAAGCGACUGCAACAUACCAAGCGACUACGACAUACCACUGAAAUCAUGAAUUUCCGUCCUACCCCCAACUUCAGUCACAAAGGAACUGACUAAACGAUGCUUUUCUCAUCCGAAGAGACGAAUUUGAACACGACCCAUCACCGUAAAAUCCAC